CACGCAUCUUCUGACGUAUGGUCUGACGUCAUGACGCACGAGGUCAGCGAUACGGUCUUUCAACCACACACCGCUUUUGCUUUCCAAUCAGGGAAAUUUCCUAUGUAACAAAAUAGCGCUAUUUUAUCAUGAGUUUAAUCCAUUUGACCGACUGUGUUGUUCAGUGUGUGUGUGUGUGUGUGUGCGCGUGUGCGUGUGCGUGUGCGUGUGCGUGCGUGUAUAUAUAUAUAUAUAUAUUAGCAUUGAAUGUUUGUCACAAGUAUUUAAAAAGUGUUGUGCUAAGUUAGCAAUUCACCCAGUAAGUUUCAUAUCGGUAGGCAUACAGUAUAUGUAAACUGAUUGAGGUACAUUGAUCAUUUAUUGACUGAUUAUAUGUUAGUAAUUGUGUUCUGUGUACAAGCUUUGCCUUACUGCAAAGCUUUCAAUAUUAGUAUCUCUUUAGUCUUUUCUCAGGAACUCAAGAAACUUUCUUAAGGCCGACUUACAACCCAUGACUGCCGUCAGGCUGAACUAAGCCUGACAGGUUGGGAAAGACAUCUGAAACCUGAAUUGUCUUGACAUCAGAAAAAUGAGUGAACUGAUCAGAUCACUGAAACUGCGGUGAGGGUGCUACAAAUACCCUGACACACCGGUGCGAGGAGAAUCAUCUCAUCCUCAAAGAGAAGAUGACAGAAGACGAGACAGCAGUGGUGGUCUUCAGGGGACACACCACCACCAACUCCAUGACAGUGGAGGGAGUCAGCCACUUCAGAUUCCCUGACGUUUACAUAAAAACCUCACAUGGGUGAGGGUGAAAAAGGCCCAGCAAUGACUCCUCUCUUUAUUUUAGAGAUAACUGAUGAAGUAUGGAAUAAGCUCUGCAAUCAUUAGACAGACCUCAGCAUAUACUCACAACUCCACUGAGCAAAAAUAGUUAUAGUUUAAUAAUGUAAUAUCAUAUAUUCAAAUCAAGUCAAAAGUUUACUUCACCUUUGCAGAACCUGGAAAAUGCAGAACAUUUGGGAAAAAUAAGAGGUAUUUUGAAAGAUUUAUUUUUAACUCUUUCCUGCCCUGCACAACUUAUUUUGCAAAAGAAAUGUUAACCCAAAGUUCACUUCACACCAAAGAAUAAUAAAAGAAAUACAUUACUACAUGAAACAUAAGAUUCACAAACAAAACAAUAUGUACAUCAAAAAACAUUUUCAGAGGUUUACACCCACCUGACUUUAAAUGAAUGGUGUUGACUUCUUGAACAUCACUGACGGUUUCUUUCGGUUGUAAUAUUUGUGUAUGAUCGUCCUCAAUGUAAAAAGAUGAAUCUCAACAACGUACAGUUACUGUUGGACAUAAGUCAAAUAUACAGAAAUAAUGAAAACGUUUUUUUUAUAAUACUAAAUUCAAACUUUACUUCUGAAUUGUCUGGAACGCAGAAUAAGGUGAGUUAGAUUCGGGUUACAGCUUCACUCUGCAGGACUGUGACCCUCCAGGGCUGAGUUGGACACAUUUAGUCAUUUAGGAGACGCUUUUAUCUAAAGUGACUAACAGAGAAAAAAGCAGGAAAUGAAGCUAUAUGUCAUGCAUGUGCAAUAAUACAGUAAAUUUUUUCCACAAAAGCCAGAUUUUUUGUUUUUAUGUAUUUAUUUCGUUGUAAAGUAUUGUCCUGGUGUAUACCAUUAUGAAUGCUUCAUGCGGUCAAUAAAAUGUAUAUUAAAUAUAUUUAUAACUAUU
Molecule: long non-coding RNA, 1707 nt
Organism: Triplophysa dalaica
Lineage: Eukaryota; Metazoa; Chordata; Actinopteri; Cypriniformes; Nemacheilidae
Exons: 3
Source: RefSeq, a predicted model, not a curated record